This 234-nucleotide ribosomal RNA is filed under the name uncultured bacterium. RNAcentral describes it as "partial 16S ribosomal RNA". It matches the Rfam family "Bacterial small subunit ribosomal RNA", at positions 104 to 334 of the family's 1533-position model. The record is from RNAcentral.
CGGGGUGAGUAACGCGUGAGCAACCUGCCUUUAUCAGGGGGAUAACGCAUCGAAAGAUGUGCUAAUACCGCGUAAGACCACAGCUUCACAUGGAGCGGGGGUCAAAGGAGCAAUCCGGAUAAAGAUGGGCUCGCGUCCGAUUAGCUAGUUGGUGAGGUAACGGCCCACCAAGGCGACGAUCGGUAGCCGGACUGGGAGGUUGAACGGCCACAUUGGGACUGAGACACGGCCCAG